This 72-nucleotide antisense RNA is filed under the name Embleya hyalina. RNAcentral describes it as "ASpks TB sRNA". It matches the Rfam family "ASpks TB sRNA". The record is from RNAcentral. Lineage: Bacteria; Bacillati; Actinomycetota; Actinomycetes; Kitasatosporales; Streptomycetaceae.
CUUGAGCGAGCCCAGCCACAGCGGUCCGGCGGCACGGCCCUGCCCGUAGGUGGCGAGCAGCGCCUCCGCCUC